AUUCUACACUAACCAGAAUGUACUUGUUGCCAAAUGAAGAUGGGAAUAUAUCCAUAAAGUUUAUUCCCCACACAUCAAACAGCUCCCCUUCAAGUACACCCUGCAGUGGCAUCUCAUUCCUUUUUGAAAUAUUUCUAGUUCUUUGGCACUGAUUGCAUGUUAGUAUAAAGUUUCUUACAUCUUUAAAUAGAUUGGGCCACUAGAACCCUGCUUAUAAGAUCUCUGCUACUGUUCUUAUUGUACUAAAGUGUCCUCUAUAAGGUGAUGAGUGACAAUGCUAUAGUAUACUCUUUAUCUCCUCCUUUGGUAUGCAUCUUCUUAUUAGUCCAUUAUAACAUCUCUUGAAUAGCAAAGGUUCCUCCCA
Molecule: unclassified non-coding RNA, 364 nt
Filed under: Hevea brasiliensis (rubber tree)
Lineage: Eukaryota; Viridiplantae; Streptophyta; Magnoliopsida; Malpighiales; Euphorbiaceae
Source: RNAcentral